UGGGGAAUUUUGGACAAUGGGGGAAACCCUGAUCCAGCCAUCCCGCGUGUGCGAUGAAGGCCUUCGGGUUGUAAAGCACUUUUGGCAGGAAAGAAACGUCAUGGGUUAAUACCCCGUGAAACUGACGGUACCUGCAGAAUAAGCACCGGCUAACUACGUGCCAGCAGCCGCGGUAAUACGUAGGGUGCAAGCGUUAAUCGGAAUUACUGGGCGUAAAGCGUGCGCAGGCGGUUCGGAAAGAAAGAUGUGAAAUCCCAGAGCUCAACUUUGGAACUGCAUUUUUAACUACCGGGCUAGAGUGUGUCAGAGGGAGGUGGAAUUCCGCGUGUAGCAGUGAAAUGCGUAGAUAUGCGGAGGAACACCGAUGGCGAAGGCAGCCUCCUGGGAUGCCACUGACGCUCAUGCACGAAAGCGUGGGGAGCAAACAGG
Molecule: ribosomal RNA, 429 nt
Filed under: Acidobacteriota bacterium
Lineage: Bacteria; Pseudomonadati; Acidobacteriota
Description: Acidobacteria bacterium partial 16S ribosomal RNA
Rfam family: Bacterial small subunit ribosomal RNA
Source: RNAcentral